Molecule: non-coding RNA, 141 nt
Organism: Caenorhabditis elegans
Lineage: Eukaryota; Metazoa; Nematoda; Chromadorea; Rhabditida; Rhabditidae
Source: Ensembl
UCUUUUUAACUCUCAGUGAUUCUCAUACCUUUUCUCUAAUAGUGGAUAAACAAAUGUCAAGGUACUUGACAUUGAAAAGAUAAAGUGUACUGUGUUAAGAUGUGUUUACUCCGUGCUCUAUGAGUUACGAAUUCCACAGAU